UUCUGCGAGAUAGUCAUAAGGUUAAAACUCUAAAUUAACCUCUUCAUCUAAUAGGUGAAGAAAUAAGCCCAGAGAGUUUACAAGACUUUACUUCCUGAAUGAAGGUCACAAUGCAAAUUACUUACUAAUGGAUGUAAUUCCUGACACUUAGCUGGAGAAAAAUUGCUUUAUUGGGCCAGAUAAACUUGCCAGGAUUGAGGCCAUCAAGCUACAGAUGGUCGUACAAAUGGAACCCCAAAUGAGCGCAACUCACAACUUCUACUGAGGACCUCUGGACCGACUCACUGGCCCUUUGACUGGCCUAGAGAGUUCCCCUCUGGAGGAUGCUACAACUGCAGGGCCCCUUCUUUGCCCCUAUCCAGCAGGAAGUAGUUAGAACAGUCAUUGCCCAGUUCCCAACAGCAUUUGGGGUGUCCUGUAUAAUGGGGGGAUUGACAGGCGAAGCCAGCUGGACUUCCUGGGUUCAGUGGGGACUUGGAGAACUUUUCUGUCUUACAAGAGGA
This is a long non-coding RNA of Homo sapiens (human), 503 nucleotides long. RefSeq lists it as uncharacterized. Lineage: Eukaryota; Metazoa; Chordata; Mammalia; Primates; Hominidae. The transcript is spliced from 3 exons. The record is from RefSeq and is a predicted model, not a curated record.